CCUACAGGAGGCAGCAGUAGGGAAUUUUCCACAAUGGGCGCAAGCCUGAUGGAGCAACACCGCGUGAGUGAAGAAGGGUUUCGGCUCGUAAAGCUCUGUUGUUGGAGAAGAACGUGCGUGAGAGUAACUGUUCACGCAGUGACGGUAUCCAACCAGAAAGUCACGGCUAACUACGUGCCAGCAGCCGCGGUAAUACGUAGGUGGCAAGCGUUAUCCGGAUUUAUUGGGCGUAAAGCGAGCGCAGGCGGUUGCUUAGGUCUGAUGUGAAAGCCUUCGGCUUAACCGAAGAAGUGCAUCGGAAACCGGGCAACUUGAGGGCAGAAGAGGACAGUGGAACUCCAUGUGUAGCGGUGGAAUGCGUAGAUAUAUGGAAGAACACCAGUGGCGAAGGCGGCUGUCUGGUCUGCAACUGACGCUGAGGCUCGAAAGCAUGGGUAGCGAACAGGAUUAGAUACCCCUGUAGUC
RNAcentral lists this ribosomal RNA (465 nucleotides) under uncultured bacterium. Its description in RNAcentral is "partial 16S ribosomal RNA". It matches the Rfam family "Bacterial small subunit ribosomal RNA", at positions 338 to 795 of the family's 1533-position model. The record is from RNAcentral.